AGAGUUUGAUCCUGGCUCAGAACGAACGCUGGCGGCAUGCCUAACACAUGCAAGUCGAACGAACUCUUCGGAGUUAGUGGCGCACGGGUGCGUAACGCGUGGGAAUCUGCCCUUGGGUACGGAAUAACUCAGAGAAAUUUGUGCUAAUACCGUAUAAUGUCUUCGGACCAAAGAUUUAUCGCCCAAGGAUGAGCCCGCGUAAGAUUAGCUAGUUGGUGGGGUAAAAGCCUACCAAGGCGACGAUCUUUAGCUGGUCUGAGAGGAUGAUCAGCCACACUGGGACUGAGACACGGCCCAGACUCCUACGGGAGGCAGCAGUGGGGAAUAUUGGACAAUGGGCGAAAGCCUGAUCCAGCAAUGCCGCGUGAGUGAUGAAGGCCUUAGGGUUGUAAAGCUCUUUUACCCGGGAUGAUAAUGACAGUACCGGGAGAAUAAGCUCCGGCUAACUCCGUGCCAGCAGCCGCGGUAAUACGGAGGGAGCUAGCGUUGUUCGGAAUUACUGGGCGUAAAGCGCGCGUAGGCGGUCUUUUAAGUCAGAGGUGAAAGCCCGGGGCUCAACCCCGGAAUAGCCUUUGAAACUGGAAGACUUGAAUCUUGGAGAGGUCAGUGGAAUUCCGAGUGUAGAGGUGAAAUUCGUAGAUAUUCGGAAGAACACCAGUGGCGAAGGCGACUGACUGGACAAGUAUUGACGCUGAGGUGCGAAAGCGUGGGGAGCAACAGGAUUAGAUACCCUGGUAGUCCACGCCGUAAACGAUGAUAACUAGCUGUUCGGGCUCAUAGAGCUUGAGUGGCGCAGCUAA
RNAcentral lists this ribosomal RNA (800 nucleotides) under uncultured bacterium. RNAcentral describes it as "bacterial SSU rRNA". It matches the Rfam family "Bacterial small subunit ribosomal RNA", at positions 8 to 855 of the family's 1533-position model. The record is from RNAcentral.